This is a long non-coding RNA of Equus asinus (donkey), 6386 nucleotides long. The record is from Ensembl. NCBI's taxonomy places the organism in Eukaryota, Metazoa, Chordata, Mammalia, Perissodactyla, Equidae.
CAAAGACCCCCGAGUGGGUUGAAACGACGGAUGCAGGGCACUGGGCCCAGGAGAGAGGGGUCAGCCUUUGCUUCCAUAAUAUUGAAAUCACCCACUUGCGUGUCCGUCUUUUCCUCGGGCUGUGACCUCCUUCAAUGGUCUGUGUCCCACUCGUCUUUCAGUCCCUCCUCCCCAUCGUCUAGCAGGGCGCCUGGCUCCCUAUAAGUUUAGCUCAAUAAAUGUUAAGUUGAACGGCGGCAGAUCUUUGCAUCGGUCCAAUCCCGAGCUUCUGUACAGAAAGCAAGAUAAACACGUUCCACUCAGGGGGCCGGCGUUCUCUUGUUCCUUUGGAGGGGCUAUGGGGGAUUCAGGGGGUACUUUAAUACUCCCGAGUGGAGGGAGCUGUCAGACAGCCGGCCCUCUGCAAGGGACAGUCGAAGGAGUUGGGAAGGUGCGUGCGCCCCUCUCACCAGGCCCGCGGAUGCUGGGUGGUACCCAAGGAGGCGCUCGGAUGGGUCACUACGGAUGGAGCUAAGCCAGGGAUCUUCUGCACGAACUUCUCCCAUCUCAGAGCAUCCUCGUCCUUCUAUGUCACUGAACUGGCCGUCUCCAUCUGGCAACUGGGAAGAGUCUGCCUCCAGGGCGCCGGGGGUGGGGAGGAGGGCAGAGCGCAGGAUUGCGGAAUGCGCGGCGCACACGCGAGCGGGCAUCACCGCGGGCUUCGCGCCGGCUCGCUUAGGCUCCGGCGCGGGCGCAGCCAGGACCCCGGCCCGGUGCGGAGCGCGCCCUCCCCCACGCCAUCUGGGCCUCCGGCGGCCCAGGCCCGUCCCGCCUCCCCGAGGCCUUCCGCGGCUCGGUGUCCCACGCUGCCCCGGCGGCGGGCGGACGGCAGCGCGGGCCGCCGGUGAGCCGGGGCGAGCGGGGGCCGAGGACGCACGCGGCCGGACGGGCGGCGCGCGCUCCCCUCCCCCGCCCCGGCCGGCAGCGCGAGCCGCCGUUGACGUCACGGGCGCCCGCCUGCCCUGCGCUCCACUGGGCAGAGCGUGCGCGGCCGGCCGCCGAGCACAUGGGCCCGCGGGCCGGCGGGCUCGGGGCGGCCUGGCCCGGGAGGAGCGGCGAGGGGGCGCCAGCAAGGAUGGGCCGCGGCACCCCCGGCCCCCGGCGAGUGGAUUUCCACGCGGGAAGGAGGUUGGCGGCGCCGGUGACCUUCGGAGACACGGCUGGAUCCACCUUCCAGCCUGAUCUUUUGACCAGAAAGAAAUUAAAAAGAUGCCUGCCAUGCUGGCUGCGCCCGUCAGCUGCAUGCAGCUUCGUUCAAGGAUUUUUGGAGCCCUGUGGAUUUACAGUGAUACUCGGCCGCCUGGGGGAUCACGCUGGUGGACGCAUUCUCUGGAAUUAAGUAUCCCGGCACAUUUCUGGAUGCUGAAGGUGGUUUUAAGGAAGGCCCCGGCUGAGCGCCUUGUGGAUUCCUGCAGCCUGGACGCCUGUGGGGGACAGAGGACUGAGCUCUCUGUCCUUCUCUCGGACUGAAAUGUUUGGUUGGGUCCCUGCCAGCUCCCUUGGGGGCUCCCUAUGAAACGGAUUUGUACCCAAAAGAAAACAGAAGAGGAGGGUUUGAGUCACCGUUCUGCUGUAUGAUCAUGGAAUCCUGUUACACCUGGGAUUUAGGUGCCUUCAAUCUGGAAAAAAUACAUAUCCGUUCAACACUCCAGAGGGACUUCAGAGCUGUCCUUCCCUCAACUAAAGCUGGAGUAUUUUAGGAUUUGGAGAAUUAAGUUUCUUUGUAGUGGCAAAGUGGAGUUCACUGGACGUUUCCCCCAGUCAAAAGUAGAUGACCUGUGCUGAAGAUGAAGCUAAAGAGAAUCUUGGAAAGAACUCGACAGUUCUUUGGACAUCACCAUGUGAGGGAAACUGAGGCCCAGAGAGGUGAAGCAUGGUCCAAGGCCACACAGCCAGUUGGAGGAAGAUUAGCCCUGAGCUAACAUCUGCUACCAAUCCUCCUCUUUUUGCUGAGAAAGACUGGCCCUGAGCUAACAUCCAUGCCCAUCUUCCUCUACUUUCUAUGUGGGACGCCUACCACAGCAUGGCCUGUCAAGCGGUGCCAUGUCCACACCCGGGAUCCGAACCAGCAAACCCCGGACCGCUGAAGUGGAACGUGUGCACUUAACCGCUGCACCAUGGGGCCGGCCCCUGAUUUUGCCAAUUUUUUUUGAGCACAUGCUUCCUCUUCUAUACAAGAGAUCUUCCCCCCGAAUCUGUGUGACUAACCAUUUGUAGAGAGUUUCUGAAACGGUGAGUCAACCAGCACAUGGCCAUUGCCUUGGGGAUUAGAUCUGUCCAACCCCUUUUGGAAUCUCUCAUUCUUCUUGCUAGGUGGACAUCAGAGCUGUUCCCACCCAACUGCCCCACUUCAGGUUUCCGGGCGGGCUCCCCAGGGGAGAGGUUGACGUGGAGAUUCAAGGGCCAGAGUGCCAAAGCUUCUGCCUGCGCCACCAUUCCAAGGCAGAGUGCCGGCUGUCAGGGAACAGCAUGGUGGCAGCAGCACGUUCCCCUCAUCAGCCACACGAAUACCCUAGGAACCCUUGUGUUUCUGCCUAGCCAAAGAAAUUAAUUUCUAAAUGACACCUAAUAGGUAUAAUUUAUCGAGCACUUACUCUGUGCCAGGUGGCCCAGAAAGCAGUUUAUUCUUUUGAUCUCGUAUGAAACCCUCCUGACAGCCUUCUGAGAGCAUUUCUGUGUUUCGCUUGAAGGACAAGCUCCAGUCCACCCACCUACAGAAUCCCAGUUCUGACAUUAAUAGCUGUGUGGCCCUGGGCAAGUUCCUUCCCUUUUCUGUGCCUCGGCUUUCUCAUUUGUACAUGGUGAAUAAUAACAGCAUGUUAGUAGUACCGGAUGAGUUAGUAAACAUUAAUAAACAGUGUUUAGAAUGUCGGUGGCUCAGAGCAGACACAUAGUUCACACUUGAUACAUAUUAGCUGUUGUUGCCAUUUUUAAAAAUGGAGAAACCAGAGGCUCAGAGAGAUCAACUUAACCAAACAUGACACAGCUGUGAGUAGCAGGGACACAGCUUGACCCAGGCAUUUCGGACUUGGAAGCUGCCUUGUAUCCAUCCAACCAGAUGCCAUCAGUAGUAGCUUCAGGGACCAAGGGGACACUGUCAUCACUCUCCUUAUCAGUAGGAGAAAUUUUCAGCUGAAAGACCCAGUGAUACUUUUUUGUAAAGACAUGGUCUCCAGCCAGUGACCAUGAAGACCUGGCGUAGUAUGUCCAGCACCUGCGAGGUGUGUGAUCAUUUCUGCAAGGUGGCUGGAGGGACUGGGCCACUGGGGUGGGAAAGGAAGGGUGUGCCCUGGGACAGCACUUAAUUCCUUAUUCCACCACUAAACGUCAGGCUUCUCAUCUUUCAAAUCGGGUUUCUAUUGUAUUUCCUCCCGGUGAGCACUUAGGAAGUGCCUUAUAAACUGAGCAUCGUCAGUGCCGCUUGUUGCAGAAUUAGGAUUGUACAUGUUACCUUAUCAUUUGUUUCUUAUCUCAGUUCCUACUUACACACACUCACACAAAGCGUAAGUGUUGUGACCCCAGCUCCGUGUUAGUCACCGGAAGGCUCUGGAAACCAAGCCUUCAGAAUCUUCUGGAAGAGAUUUUUCCCUUGCCUAACUAGGCUAAAUGAACUGGAAUGAGGAGCCACCGGGAUUUUUCGAGACUGGGGUAUCUACCAUGUCUGUUGGUUUGGCGGCAGAUAGACAAGGUCGCGCUCUGCCACGCAAGACAUUCCCUCACUGAAUUUUCCACCUGAGCAUUUUCAGACAUGGGCCUCUUGGGUGUGAGGGACGAAGGGCUCAGUCUGAACGAAAGGUCACAGGCUAAGUGGUGUGGCUUUAAGCAAAAAAGAUGACUUCAUGCCCGGAAUUUCCUAGGAGGACUUUUAAACUUAACCCUGCAUAACAAGCAAUUCAACUAUCUUUUAUUUUUAUUUUUUAAAUUUAAAUGGCCCUCUCUCUCUUCCUUUCCCUCCCUUCCUCCCUCCCUCCUUCCUUCCUUCCAAGGAACACAUCCACUCUUGAAAAUUCUAAAGAUCCAGAAAGAUGCGCAGCAAAAGUGAGAUAUGUGCCCCCAUUUCUGGUUCCCCAGCCAACAGGCGUCCCUUCUGGGAGGCAGUCACUGUCAGAAGUGUCCUGCCUGUCAUUCUAGAGAUGGUCUGCCUGCACAUGUCCGAGAAAGUCCGUGUGUGUGUACAAGGUUUCCUUCUUUAUUGUGUGAGCUUGUGUUUCAUAGCACCCGAGCUCCGUGAUUCAGGCCGUAAUGUACUUUCCCAUUUCUCCCGAGUUACGAGGCCUCCCUUCCCAUUGGCUCUUCUCCAGCUGCUGCCAUUGUCCUCUCUGUGCCCAGGGCCUAUUCCCGGGCACGUGUGAUGACAUGGAGACAUCUGUGAUGAAGUGGCGGUGGACACUGGAGCGGUCCAGCCCCGUUGGUGGAGAAUCCCUUGGUUUCAGGAGGUCCUGGGCUCACCUUGAUCUCCCCCCUGAAGGCAGGAAGCAGGAAGGCUGGACGGCAAUGCAGGGCAGUCUCCAGAAAUUGCUCACUCACAGACAGCCUGCCGGGGAACCCACUUCUCCCCGUUAAAGGGAAGCUUUAAGACCACUUUCCCUUGACUCAGGUCACCUGGUGCAGAAUGACACCCCUGAGAGAUGGCCGAGGCCAUCGUUCCUCAAAUUCGAGCCAAGCACAGAUCCCCAGGAGUCCUUUUUAAAUGCAGAUUCUCAUUCAAUUCAUCUGUGUGGGGCUGAGAUUCUGCACGAAUGAUGAACCCCCAGAUGAUGCUGAUGCUGCGGUCCUCGCACUGACUGACCCAUUUUGAGCAGCAAGGAAGCAUCUAGUCCCUCCCACCGCUGCUCGCACCACACAUAGUACCCGACACCAUCUAGAGGGCCAGACAGCACGUACUCCGGCUCCGUCACAGGUGAGGAAACUACUGCUCAGAGAUGUGAAAUAACUCAGCAGAGGUCACACAGCUAAUAAGUGACAAACAGGAAUGUCCAAGCGGUGAAGGUCAUUUCCAGUCGCCGAGUCUUUCACAAGCCCAUGUCUGGACCGGGACAUCUCAUGUCUCAUCGUGAGCAGGAGACUGGAAAAUAACUGGCCGGAGGGGAUAGGCCCAGCAGUAACACUGGCCCAGAGAGAAUUGAGUGCUUUUGUCCGGUGACAAGAAGACACACGCAGCUGGAAAAAGGAGCCUAGGCCAUCACCAUGUUCCCCAAAUAGCAGAACACCUCCCUCCUUCCCACCUUCUCUCCCGUGGCACAGAAUACGUUUUACCAGGGAUCGGUCACUGCUGAGCUGUCUUCAUUUAAUGUGGCUUUGACAGAAUAGUUGGUCUGGAAAUCUUAUUUUCAAUUAAAUAUCCUUAUUGAACUGCCUUGGUUUUGAAAAGAUUCCAUUAGGAUGGCUAAUUAUAUAGCAGUUGCUCCAAGGAGAUGCUGGCACUCCAUUUCAGCUCUUAAGUAAUUCGAAUCAAAUGCUGUCUUCUUUCCUCCUUGGAGCUGUGAGCGACCGUCUUCCCCUCACACUGUAGGCUUCUCGUGAGUUAUUUUUGGAAAUCCAAGUCAAAACAGCAAUUUUGGCAGAGGCCAUUUCUAGCCUAGCAGAGUAAACCGUAUGUACUGAUAAAAACAGCCGAAGAGUCAGUGCCUUUAAAAAGCAACUAAACCAUCUCCUUCUGUGGGGGUUAAAUUUGGGGGACCUCCAAACUGUCCUUUGUACUAUCCUGUUCCUUCGUGAGCUCUAACUGAAGUCAAAGACAUUGGAAUUCCUUUAAGAUUAGCAAAGCUUUGUCCGUUUGCAAACUGUCAUCGUGGUCAUUUUGUUUCAAGAUGGCAGGCCUUGGCAGAAUUUACCAGGCACUCUGUUUUGGCCUCUGGAUCUCCCCUGAAACGUGGAAAUCACUUUCUGUUCCCAUUCUGUGCUGUUUGCUUCUGUCACCAGAGCACGCGCGACAUUCCUCGCGACAUUCCUCCUUACGCAUACCAAGCAGGCAGACCUUCCUGCUCACCCGUUAGAACGGAGCUUCUUGUGGCCAGGGGCUGUGUUUUUCAUCUUAUCUCCUUCCUGGCACAUAAUAGAUGCUCAAAUAGUUGGAUGAAUAGAUAGAUUAGAUAGAUGAAUGAAUAGAAUCCUAUUUCUAUUUUUCUCUUUUAAAAAAAAAAUCAAUCAUUUAUUACAUAAAUAGUAAAUGAAUGUUUUCACCUUGUGGGGAAAAAACAGCUUCCAAAUGAGGUUAAAGUCCUUUUUUUUUUUCCAGUUUUCUUUUUUUUUAAAGAUUGGCACCUGAGCUAACAACUGUUGCCAAUCUUCCUUUUUCUUUUUUCCUGUUUUUUCUCCCCAAAUCCCCCCAAUACAUAGUUGGGUGU